AUUGAACGCUGGCGGCAGGCCUAACACAUGCAAGUCGAGCGGCUGAAGGGAGCUUGCUCCUGGUUUCAGCGGCCGACGGGUGCGUAAUCCCUAGGACUCUGCCUGGUAGUGGGGGAUACCGCUGGGCACAGGACGCUACUACCGCAUACGACCAGAGGGCGAAAGUGGGGGAUCUUCGAACCUAACGCUAUCAGAUGAGCCUAGGUCGGAUUAGCUAGUUGGUGGGGUAAAGGCCUACCAAGGCGACGAUCCGUAACUGGUCUGAGAGGAGGCUCAGUCACACGGGAACGGGGAGACGCUCCAGACCCCUGUGGGAGGCAGCAGUGGGGAAUAGUGAACCAUGGUCGAAGGUCUGCUCCAGCCAUGCCGAGUGUGUGAAGAGGGUCUUCGGAUUGUAAAGCACUUUAAGUUGGGAGGAAGGGGAGUAAGCUAGUACCUUGCUGUUUUGACGUCCCCAACAGAAUAAGCACCCGCUAACUUCGUG
Molecule: ribosomal RNA, 484 nt
Filed under: uncultured bacterium
Lineage: Bacteria
Description: partial 16S ribosomal RNA
Rfam family: Bacterial small subunit ribosomal RNA
Source: RNAcentral